CCGAGUAAGGGGGGUGAAGUCGUAACAAGGUAGCCGUACCGGAAGGUGCGGCUGGAUCACCUCCUUUCUAAGGAGCA
RNAcentral lists this ribosomal RNA (77 nucleotides) under Cloacibacillus porcorum. RNAcentral's name for it is "partial 16S ribosomal RNA". The stretch from base 1 to 67 matches the Rfam family "Bacterial small subunit ribosomal RNA", at positions 1467 to 1533 of the family's 1533-position model. Lineage: Bacteria; Thermotogati; Synergistota; Synergistia; Synergistales; Synergistaceae. The record is from RNAcentral.